GACGAACGCUGGCGGCGUGCUUAACACAUGCAAGUCGAACGGAGUUCCUUGGAUAGAGGCUUCGGCCAAUUGAAUUGGAACUUAGUGGCGGACUGGUGAGUAACGCGUGAGGAACCUGCCUUUCAGAGGGGGACAACAGUUGGAAACGACUGCUAAUACCGCAUGACACAUUUGGGUGGCAUCGCUUGAAUGUCAAAGAUUUUAUCGCUGAAAGAUGGCCUCGCGUCUGAUUAGCUAGUUGGUGGGGUAACGGCCCACCAAGGCGACGAUCAGUAGCCGGACUGAGAGGUUGACCGGCCACAUUGGGACUGAGAUACGGCCCAGACUCCUACGGGAGGCAGCAGUGGGGAAUAUUGGGCAAUGGACGCAAGUCUGACCCAGCAACGCCGCGUGAAGGAAGAAGGCUUUCGGGUUGUAAACUCUUUUAAGUGGGAAGAGUAGAAGACGGUACCACUUGAAUAAGCCACGGCUAACUACGUG
RNAcentral lists this ribosomal RNA (480 nucleotides) under uncultured bacterium. RNAcentral describes it as "bacterial SSU rRNA". It matches the Rfam family "Bacterial small subunit ribosomal RNA", at positions 28 to 507 of the family's 1533-position model. The record is from RNAcentral.